GUAUAUAUAAGUAUUUCAGUUCUUAUUUCCAUUUGAACAAAAGAUUAAUCAUUUAAUCAAAUUAUGUUAUAGGCAAUGGAUUCUAUAUCUUGUAAUCAGAUCCAAAUUAAUGUCUGAAAGGAAAGAGUGAGCCAUGGAGACAGAACUCCAGGAGUAUUUCAGAUGGAUGUGAUGGUGUCAUUUUAUCUCCACCCCAGGAACUUGUGUCAACAGCUCCCUCCACGGACCAUUCACUAGAGUUGCAAUGUCACACAGUGUCAGAAUCGGGUGUGUGUGAUUGUGUGUGUAUGUGUGUGUGUG
Molecule: long non-coding RNA, 300 nt
Filed under: Vulpes vulpes (red fox)
Lineage: Eukaryota; Metazoa; Chordata; Mammalia; Carnivora; Canidae
Description: lncRNA (ENSVVUG00000015020.1)
Source: RNAcentral